This 501-nucleotide ribosomal RNA is filed under the name uncultured Acidobacteriaceae bacterium. Its description in RNAcentral is "bacterial SSU rRNA". It matches the Rfam family "Bacterial small subunit ribosomal RNA", at positions 8 to 488 of the family's 1533-position model. The record is from RNAcentral. Lineage: Bacteria; Pseudomonadati; Acidobacteriota; Terriglobia; Terriglobales; Acidobacteriaceae.
AGAGUUUGAUCCUGGCUCAGAAUCAACGCUGGCGGCGUGCCUAACACAUGCAAGUCGAACGAGAAAGUGACUUCGGUCACUGGAAAGUGGCGUCCGGGUGAGUAACACGUGGGUAAUCUACCCUCGGGUGGGGAAUAACGGAUCGAAAGAUUCGCUAAUACCGCAUAAUGCAGCGGCACCUAAUGGUGAAUAGUUGUUAAAGCGGGGGAUCACAAGACCUCGCGCCUGAAGAGGAGCCUGCGGCAGAUUAGCUAGUUGGUGAGGUAAUGGCUCACCAAGGCUUCGAUCUGUAGCUGGUCUGAGAGGACGGCCAGCCACACUGGCACUGACACACGGGCCAGACUCCUACGGGAGGCAGCAGUGGGGAAUUUUGGGCAAUGGGCGAAAGCCUGACCCAGCAACGCCGCGUGAGGGAGGAAAUCCUUCGGGAUGUAAACCUCGCAAGCAAGGGAAGACAGCUAGAGAUUUAAUAAAUUUCUAGUCCGACGGUACGUGCUAGCC